Molecule: long non-coding RNA, 502 nt
Organism: Peromyscus eremicus (cactus mouse)
Lineage: Eukaryota; Metazoa; Chordata; Mammalia; Rodentia; Cricetidae
Exons: 3
Source: RefSeq, a predicted model, not a curated record
GAUAAAGACGACAGACAGAGGAGCCCUGUCCCCUAGCAACAGAUGACAUACAUGUUUGCUGGCAGCAACAUACCCCUCACCACCUGCCCUCCAGUGAACUAGAGGUAUUUACCAGAGCCUGCGAGGGAGAGUGUGAAGAAAGCUCGUCUUGUUAGCAUUCCAGCUGCUUUUGAGUGGACGACUGUUACAGGGAGAGUACCGGCGCUGGAAGCAUCUAGUGGCAUCUGAACUACUGAAAUCUCCACCAUGGAAAGAGAUACUUGUGAUUUACUUUCUCGGAGCAAAAGUGCCUCCGAGGAAACAUUGCAUUCUAGUAAUGAAGAAGAGGACCCCUUCCGUGGGAUGGAACCCUAUCUUGUGCGAAGACUUUCAUCCCGCAGUAUCCAGCUCCCUCCUCUUGCCUUCAGACAGUUGGAACAAACUGACUUGAGAAGUGAAUCAGAGAACAUCCCAAGGCCAACCAGCCUCCCACUGAAAAUCCUGCCUCUGAUUGCUAUCACGU